UACGUAGGUGGCAAGCGUUGUCCGGAAUUAUUGGGCGUAAAGCGCGCGCAGGUGGUUUCUUAAGUCUGAUGUGAAAGCCCACGGCUCAACCGUGGAGGGUCAUUGGAAACUGGGGAACUUGAGUGCAGGAGAGAAGAGUGGAAUUCCACGUGUAGCGGUGAAAUGCGUAGAGAUGUGGAGGAACACCAGUGGCGAAGGCGGCCAUCUGGGAGGGCACUGACGCUGAGACGCGAAAGCGUGGGGAGCAAACAGG
Molecule: ribosomal RNA, 253 nt
Filed under: uncultured bacterium
Lineage: Bacteria
Description: partial 16S ribosomal RNA
Rfam family: Bacterial small subunit ribosomal RNA
Source: RNAcentral